UACAGAGGGGGCGAGCGUUGUUCGGAAUUACUGGGCGUAAAGGGCGCGUAGGCGGCCUUCUAAGUCGAACGUGAAAUCCCCGGGCUCAACCCGGGAACUGCGUCCGAUACUGGGAGGCUUGAAUCCGGGAGAGGGAUGUGGAAUUCCAGGUGUAGCGGUGAAAUGCGUAGAUAUCUGGAGGAACACCGAUGGCGAAGGCAAUCCCCUGGGCCUGCACUGACGCUCAUGCACGAAAGCGUGGGGAGCAAACAGG
RNAcentral lists this ribosomal RNA (253 nucleotides) under uncultured bacterium. RNAcentral describes it as "partial 16S ribosomal RNA". It matches the Rfam family "Bacterial small subunit ribosomal RNA", at positions 524 to 776 of the family's 1533-position model. The record is from RNAcentral.